RNAcentral lists this ribosomal RNA (24 nucleotides) under Symbiodinium sp. D1_M_annularis. RNAcentral describes it as "partial 24S ribosomal RNA". The record is from RNAcentral. Lineage: Eukaryota; Dinophyceae; Suessiales; Symbiodiniaceae. RNAcentral also lists the same sequence under 1 other name.
CAUAGCAUGAAGUCAAACAAGAGA